This 362-nucleotide small RNA is filed under the name Drosophila mojavensis. RNAcentral describes it as "GI26559". Lineage: Eukaryota; Metazoa; Arthropoda; Insecta; Diptera; Drosophilidae. The record is from RNAcentral.
CGAAAUUAUUUUCCAAAGCAAAGAAAAUUCGUGAAAAUUCCACGAGACAUGCAACAUAAUUUGAAGAGUAUUCGAUUCUAUUGCAGGUGACGACCAUUUCACUCAUCUUGGCCACUUUGAGGAGCGCGAGCAAGUGCGAAAGAGAUAGAGAUAGGCCGUGGAGAAAGCUUUGUGCGUUAAUUGCUUGAAAAUGAAAACAUGAAAUUAAAUGAAAACAUUGUUGGACACAAGUGUCUUGCGUACAUUACUCAUACGCUUCAGAAAACCGACAACCACCGCAUGCAGGUUUCUGUGUGCCUCUGUGGGCAUAUGUGUGUGUGUGUUGGUGUGUGUGUGUGUCUGUGGAUGUACGCAUGUCGCAG